Molecule: ribosomal RNA, 719 nt
Filed under: Pseudomonas sp. 110921_PC_C_C5
Lineage: Bacteria; Pseudomonadati; Pseudomonadota; Gammaproteobacteria; Pseudomonadales; Pseudomonadaceae
Also listed under: 1 other name
Description: bacterial SSU rRNA
Rfam family: Bacterial small subunit ribosomal RNA
Source: RNAcentral
AUGGCUCAGAUUGAACGCUGGCGGCAGGCCUAACACAUGCAAGUCGAGCGGCAGCACGGGUACUUGUACCUGGUGGCGAGCGGCGGACGGGUGAGUAAUGCCUAGGAAUCUGCCUGGUAGUGGGGGAUAACGUUCGGAAACGAACGCUAAUACCGCAUACGUCCUACGGGAGAAAGCAGGGGACCUUCGGGCCUUGCGCUAUCAGAUGAGCCUAGGUCGGAUUAGCUAGUUGGUGAGGUAAUGGCUCACCAAGGCGACGAUCCGUAACUGGUCUGAGAGGAUGAUCAGUCACACUGGAACUGAGACACGGUCCAGACUCCUACGGGAGGCAGCAGUGGGGAAUAUUGGACAAUGGGCGAAAGCCUGAUCCAGCCAUGCCGCGUGUGUGAAGAAGGUCUUCGGAUUGUAAAGCACUUUAAGUUGGGAGGAAGGGCAGUUACCUAAUACGUAAUUGUUUUGACGUUACCGACAGAAUAAGCACCGGCUAACUCUGUGCCAGCAGCCGCGGUAAUACAGAGGGUGCAAGCGUUAAUCGGAAUUACUGGGCGUAAAGCGCGCGUAGGUGGUUCGUUAAGUUGGAUGUGAAAUCCCCGGGCUCAACCUGGGAACUGCAUUCAAAACUGUCGAGCUAGAGUAUGGUAGAGGGUGGUGGAAUUUCCUGUGUAGCGGUGAAAUGCGUAGAUAUAGGAAGGAACACCAGUGGCGAAGGCGACCACCUG